Molecule: long non-coding RNA, 700 nt
Organism: Liolophura sinensis
Lineage: Eukaryota; Metazoa; Mollusca; Polyplacophora; Chitonida; Chitonidae
Exons: 3
Source: RefSeq, a predicted model, not a curated record
CUUGUAAAUCAGAACCAUCAUCCGUGUUUUUACUCAGUCGAACAGAAUACUGCUUACAACAUAUUGGCGACGAUGAUCCAAGAACAUACCAGGCGGAUUUGCAUGAAGUUUUAUCGCACCAUCGACAGUAUCUCACAAUGAAUAAAAUAUCUCCUCCGCCACCAUUUCUGUCUACAACAAGCCUGCCAUCUUAGUCAUGGGGACUCUGGGCUGAAACUUUGGAAAAUUUUUUACUUGCCAUCAAUCAAGUUCAAUCAACUCAGCAUCAUCGGGGGUUCUAAUCUUAAGGAGGCGACCAGACGGGUGAUGUCUCAGACCAUAUCCCACAAUGUUGCUCUGAACCUUAAUUGGGCAGGGAGGAAGGGCUGGAAAGGUCAGCAGACUGAACCGAAGAGAGCAUUUGGUGGUCUGCGCCUAUGCGCUGCAAUGAAAAAAGCGAUGCUGAAGAACGUUGCCUUCAAAACAACAGAAGACCAGGUCGAGAGAGAAAUGAUGAUAUGGCUUCGCAACGCCUGCGACAGGCAUGGGGGCAGGAAGAGGCGCGCUCAGUCUCAAGCCACUGUGUCAGUAGUGACUGUUUCGGAAAACAGCGAAAUCGCCGAAAAUGAACUUUAAUCGGUCCGAGCUAUUUUCCUGUGCUUGAUUUAAGAGUCAACUCUUUUUGUACCAUUGGUGCAGGUGGGAUCAAUUAAACUAUUUG